GAUGAACGCUGGCGGCGUGCCUAAUACAUGCAAGUCGAGCGAACAGACGAGGAGCUUGCUCCUUCGACGUUAGCGGCGGACGGGUGAGUAACACGUAGGUAACCUACCUAUAAGACUGGGAUAACUUCGGGAAACCGGAGCUAAUACCGGAUAAUAUUUCGAACCGCAUGGUUCGAUAGUGAAAGAUGGCUUUGCUAUCACUUAUAGAUGGACCUGCGCCGUAUUAGCUAGUUGGUAAGGUAACGGCUUACCAAGGCAACGAUACGUAGCCGACCUGAGAGGGUGAUGGGCCACACUGGAACUGAGACACGGUCCAGACUCCUACGGGAGGCAGCAGUAGGGAAUCGUCCGCAAUGGGCGAAAGCCUGACGGAGCAACGCCGCGUGAGUGAUGAAGGUCUUCGGAUCGUAAAACUCUGUUAUUAGGGAAAAACAAACGUGUAAGUAACUGUGCACGUCGUGACGGUACCUAAUCAGAAAGCCACGGCUAACUACG
Molecule: ribosomal RNA, 495 nt
Filed under: uncultured bacterium
Lineage: Bacteria
Description: partial 16S ribosomal RNA
Rfam family: Bacterial small subunit ribosomal RNA
Source: RNAcentral